RNAcentral lists this long non-coding RNA (739 nucleotides) under Brassica napus (rape). RNAcentral describes it as "long non-coding RNA (BNAP_LNC005697)". Lineage: Eukaryota; Viridiplantae; Streptophyta; Magnoliopsida; Brassicales; Brassicaceae. The record is from RNAcentral.
CUUCAUCCCCGUAAAGGGACAAAUCGGAGCAAAACAAACAGACGCAACACUCUAAAGAAACAUCAGGCUAGGUUACAUGAGAGAUGACUACAAUCUAUAACUACAGAACAAAGAAGCAGAGAGGGUCAAAGGCAAGGGAAAUAAGGCUAGGGAAGCUUGUUCCCUCCUCCGGUGAACACAGGUGACUAUCAAUCCGGUUACCGAAGCUUUUCACGGCGGGGUGUCCAAGCCUGCGCUAGAUCCGCCACUGGUUUCCUUCAAUCAGUCACCCACCGGUUUCCUUCAAACUUGAUCUUGAUUCAGUUGUUUACUCAUCUGAACUAUGUAACCGAUCUUGAUUAGGACCUCGGCGUCUCUCGCGUGCCGAUCGAACCUCACCUCGACCGAGACUCUGCAUCUCGAGUUUCCCUUGUGUUUAAUCUCGUCCCUCGCACCUCGACGCAACGGAGACGGCAGCGUGUAGCGUCUCCCGGACGGAGGCGAGAAGGUCUAGAGCUAGCUGGUUGGUGGAAGACGCGCCGGCGGAGUCGGAGAUGUCGGCGAGGUGAGUGUUGAGAUCGGUGAGAGAAGAGAAAUAGGGGGAUAAUUGUCUUCAUAAAUUGUUGAACAGUACUUAAAAGUACCUUAUGGUAUUGACCUAAUUUCGCCUAAAGCUGAGUGUAGAGAGUGCAAUUUCUCUUUUUUUAAUAUGUAAAAAAUUCUUGUUUAGGGUUUCGAUGAAAAACGCUCUCAAUUUAAG